UGGACAGAUUAUUGUAUUCGACUGUAUUCACGGCAUGAAAUAGGGGAUUAUACUGUUUUAAAACAGAAAGUGAAUCAAUUAACAUAAUAAACUCCU
Nicotiana sylvestris (wood tobacco) is the source of this 96-nucleotide non-coding RNA. The record is from Rfam. Lineage: Eukaryota; Viridiplantae; Streptophyta; Magnoliopsida; Solanales; Solanaceae.